This 587-nucleotide ribosomal RNA is filed under the name uncultured Actinomycetes bacterium. RNAcentral's name for it is "bacterial SSU rRNA". It matches the Rfam family "Bacterial small subunit ribosomal RNA", at positions 224 to 823 of the family's 1533-position model. Lineage: Bacteria; Bacillati; Actinomycetota; Actinomycetes. The record is from RNAcentral.
GAUGGGCCCGCGGCCUAUCAGCUUGUUGGUGGGGUGAUGGCCUACCAAGGCGACGACGGGUAGCCGGCCUGAGAGGGUGACCGGCCACACUGGGACUGAGACACGGCCCAGACUCCUACGGGAGGCAGCAGUGGGGAAUAUUGCGCAAUGGGCGGAAGCCUGACGCAGCGACGCCGCGUGGGGGAUGACGGCCUUCGGGUUGUAAACCUCUUUCGCCAGGGACGAAGCGUGAGUGACGGUACCUGGAGAAGAAGCACCGGCUAACUACGUGCCAGCAGCCGCGGUAAUACGUAGGGUGCGAGCGUUGUCCGGAAUUAUUGGGCGUAAAGAGCUCGUAGGCGGUUUGUUGCGUCGGCCGUGAAAACUUGGGGCUUAACUCCGAGCUUGCGGUCGAUACGGGCAGACUUGAGUUCGGCAGGGGAGACUGGAAUUCCUGGUGUAGCGGUGAAAUGCGCAGAUAUCAGGAGGAACACCGGUGGCGAAGGCGGGUCUCUGGGCCGAUACUGACGCUGAGGAGCGAAAGCGUGGGGAGCGAACAGGAUUAGAUACCCUGGUAGUCCACGCCGUAAACGUUGGGCGCUAGGUGU